Molecule: transfer RNA, 76 nt
Filed under: Gammaproteobacteria bacterium
Lineage: Bacteria; Pseudomonadati; Pseudomonadota; Gammaproteobacteria
Also listed under: 5 other names
Description: tRNA-Thr
Rfam family: tRNA
About the family: Transfer RNA (tRNA) molecules are approximately 80 nucleotides in length. Their secondary structure includes four short double-helical elements and three loops (D, anti-codon, and T loops).
Source: RNAcentral
GCCGGUGUAGCUCAGUUGGCAGAGCAGGGCAUUCGUAAUGCUCAGGUCGGAGGUUCAAAUCCUCUCGCCGGCACCA